AACGAACGCUGGCGGCAUGCCUAACACAUGCAAGUCGAACGAGACCUUCGGAUCUAGUGGCGCACGGGUGCUUACGGCGUGGGAACCUGCCCUUAGGUUCGGUAUAUGUCACCGGGAGAGAACCUAAUGACGCAUAAUGUCUUCGGACCAAAGAUUUAUCGUCUUUGGAUGGGCCCGCGUUGGAUUAGCUAGUUGGUAGAGUAAAAGCCUACGAAGGCGACGAUCCAUAGCUGGUCUGAGAGGAUGAUCAGCCACACUGGGAGUGGGACACGGCCCAGACGCCUACGGGAGGCAGCAGUGGGGAAUAUGGGACGAUGGGCGAGAGCCUGAUCCAGCAAUGCCGCGUGAGUGAUGUAGGCCUUAGGGUUGUAAAGCUCUUUUACCCGGGAGGAUAAUGACGGUACCGGGAGAAUAAGCUCCGGCUAACUCCGUG
This 433-nucleotide ribosomal RNA is filed under the name uncultured bacterium. RNAcentral's name for it is "partial 16S ribosomal RNA". It matches the Rfam family "Bacterial small subunit ribosomal RNA", at positions 29 to 507 of the family's 1533-position model. The record is from RNAcentral.